Molecule: non-coding RNA, 117 nt
Filed under: Homo sapiens (human)
Lineage: Eukaryota; Metazoa; Chordata; Mammalia; Primates; Hominidae
Source: Rfam by way of RNAcentral
GCUGGGCAUGGUGGCUCAUGCCUGUAAUCCUAGCACUUUGGGAAGCCGAGGCGGGCGGAUCACCUGAGGCCAGGAGUUUAAGACCAGCCUGGCCAACAUGGUGAAACCCCGUCUCUA